GCAUAUCAAUAAGCGGAGGAAAAGAAACCUACCGGGAUUGCCUCAGUAACGGCGAGUGAAGCGGCAAGAGCUCAAAUUUGAAAUCUGGCCCCUCCGGGGUCCGAGUUGUAAUUUGCAGAGGAUGCUUCGGGAGCGGUCCCCGUCUAAGUGCCCUGGAACGGGCCGUCAUAGAGGGUGAGAAUCCCGUCUGGGAUGGGCGGCCGCGCCCGUGUGAAGCGCCUUCGACGAGUCGAGUUGUUUGGGAAUGCAGCUCUAAGUGGGUGGUAAAUUUCAUCUAAAGCUAAAUACUGGCCGGAGACCGAUAGCGCACAAGUAGAGUGAUCGAAAGAUGAAAAGCACUUUGAAAAGAGAGUUAAACAGCACGUGAAAUUGUUGAAAGGGAAGCGUUGUCCACCAGACUCGCCCGGGGGGGUUCAGCCGGCACUCGUGCCGGUGUACUCUCCCCCGGGCGGGCCAGCAUCGGUUUGGGCGGCUGGUGAAAGGCCCCGGGAAUGUAACACCCUCCGGGGUGCCUUAUAGCCCGGGGUGUCAUGCGGCCAGCCUGGACCGAGGCCCGCGCUUCGGCGAGGAUGCUGGCGUAAUGGUGGUCAACGGCCCGUCUUGAAACACGGACCAAGGAGUCUAACAUCUAUGCGAGUGUUCGGGUGUCAAACCCGUCCGCGCAGUGAAAGCGAACGGAGGUGGGAGCCCCCCGGGGUGCACCAUCGACCGAUCCUGAAGUCUUCGGAUGGAUUUGAGUAAGAGCAUAGCUGUUGGGACCCGAAAGAUGGUGAACUAUGCCUGAAUAGGGCGAAGCCAGAGGAAACUCUGGUGGAGGCUCGCAGCGGUUCUGACGUGCAAAUCGAUCGUCAAAUUUGGGUAUAGGGGCGAAAGACUAAUCGAACCAUCUGGUAGCUGGUUCCUGCCGAG
RNAcentral lists this ribosomal RNA (909 nucleotides) under Talaromyces helicus var. major. Its description in RNAcentral is "LSU rRNA". It matches the Rfam family "Eukaryotic large subunit ribosomal RNA", at positions 38 to 965 of the family's 3401-position model. The record is from RNAcentral. Lineage: Eukaryota; Fungi; Ascomycota; Eurotiomycetes; Eurotiales; Trichocomaceae.